UCCUACGGGGGGCAGCAGUAGGGAAUUUUCGUCAAUGGGCGCAAGCCUGAACGAGCAAUGCCGCGUGAACGAGGAAGGUCUUCGGAUCGUAAAGUUCUGUUGAAGGGGAAAAAGAGCGGAGAGAGGAAAUGGUCUCCGAUUGAUAUUACCCUUCGAGGAAGUCACGGCUAACUACGUGCCAGCAGCCGCGGUAAUACGUAGGUGGCGAGCGUUUUCCGGAAUGAUUGGGCGUAAAGGGUGCGUAGGCGGCCUGCUAAGUCUGGAGUGAAAGGUACCGGCUCAACCGGUACAGGCUCUGGAAACUG
This 305-nucleotide ribosomal RNA is filed under the name uncultured bacterium. RNAcentral's name for it is "bacterial SSU rRNA". It matches the Rfam family "Bacterial small subunit ribosomal RNA", at positions 337 to 635 of the family's 1533-position model. The record is from RNAcentral.